GCUCAGUAACACGUAGUCAACCUACCCUGAAGACGCGGAUAACCCCGGGAAACUGGGACUAAUCCGCGAUGGGCCAAGACAUCUGGAAUGGGUCUUGAUCGAAAGGGAUGCGUGAGCAUGUUCACACAUUCGCUUCAGGAUGGGACUGCGGCCGAUCAGGUUGUUGGCGGGGUAAUGGCCCACCAAGCCUAUAACCGGUACGGGCUUUGAGAGAAGGAGCCCGGAGAUGGACACUGAGACAAGGGUCCAGGCCCUACGGGGCGCAGCAGGCGCGAAACCUUCGCAAUAUGCGAAAGCAUGACGAGGCUACUCCGAGUGCCCUUCGCUAAGAAGGGCUUUUCCCGAGUGUAAAUAACUCGGGGAAUAAGGGGAGGGCAAGUCUGGUGUCAGCCGCCGCGGUAAGACCAGCUCCUCGAGUGGUUGGGACGAUUAUUGGGCCUAAAGCAUCCGUAGCCUGCUCCGUAGGUCUCCUGUUAAAUCCAACCGCUCAACGGUUGGGCCGCAGGAGAUACCGUGGGGCUAGGAGGCGGGAGAGGCCGACGGUACUCCACGGGUAGGGGUAAAAUCUUCUGAUCCGUGGAAGACCACCAGUGGCGAAGGCGGUCGGCCAGAACGCGCUCGACGGUGAGGGAUGAAAGCUGGGGGAGCGAACCGGAUUAGAUACCCGGGUAGUCCCAGCUGUAAACGAUGCGAGCUAGGUGAUACAGCGGCUAAGGGCCACUGUAGUGCCGCAGGGAAGCCGUUAAGCUCGCCGCCUGGGGAGUACGGUCGCAAGACUGAAACUUAAAGGAAUUGGCGGGGGAGCACCACAAGGGGUGAAGCCUGCGGUUCAAUUGGAGUCAAUGCCGGGAACCUUACCGGGAGCGACAGCAGGAUGAAGGUCAGGCUGAAGACUUUACCAGACGAGCUGAGAGGAGGUGCAUGGCCGUCGCCAGCUCGUGCCGUGGGGCGUCCUGUUAAGUCAGGCAACGAGCGAGACCCCUACCAGCAAUUGCCUGCAUCGCCCGAAAGGGUGGCGCGACUUAAAUGCUGGGACUGCCGUCGCUAAGACGGAGGAAGGAGGGGGCCACGGCAGGUCAGUAUGCCCCGAAACUCCCGGGCCACACGCGGGCUGCAAUGGUAGGGACAAUGGGUUCCGACCCCGUAAGGGGAAGGCAAUCCCCAAACCCUACCCCAGUUGUGACUGAGGGCUGCAACCCGCCCUCACGAAUCUGGAAUCCCUAGUAACCGCGCGUCA
This 1237-nucleotide ribosomal RNA is filed under the name uncultured archaeon. Its description in RNAcentral is "bacterial SSU rRNA". It matches the Rfam family "Archaeal small subunit ribosomal RNA", at positions 88 to 1307 of the family's 1478-position model. The record is from RNAcentral.